GAUGGGUGCAUAAAUGUAGAUUUUGAGGCUUUAGAUUAUGUGAAGGUAUAAAGAGAAAGGAGUGUGUCAUAUCUGAUUCAUGCUGUGAAAGAUCAAUGGAAAGACAGUUUUUUAAAAAGGGAAGUUAGUAAAAAAACCAGAUCUUAUUGUUACUUCAAUUUUGCAUUUUUCAUUGUCAGAAGUCAGGCUUUCAAAAUAUUAGGGAUAAAAGUGAAAGGUUUGUCUUAUUCUUGCUUAUUUCUCACCUCCCCUACUCUCCUUUUCUCUGUUCUUGAUGUAUUUGGGUUCUUCAAAAAGCCAUCCACCACAGCGAUUCUCUCAAGCUUUUCCAGAUAUCCCCUAAGAAUCUAAGGAGAACUGCGACUUUAGGAGGUUCUCAAUCCAAGAAAAGGCAAUCAUCAAUGGAUAACAGGUAUAAUUUUAUGAGGCAGGGCACUGGUGUAUGGAGAUCCCUGAGGGAAGGAGACUUUGAAGAAGAGGAUGUUUGGGAUGUUUUAAGAGAGACAAAAGAUGCAAAUUCCAAUUAUGGCAAAUCCACAGAAUCCUCAUUUUCUGUUCCAAGAAGCCUCCCUUCUGCUGCAAGAAUGAUCCCAAGAACUACAAGUAGUGGCAGCAGCAGCAGCAGCAACAAUUCCUCUCAUGAAACCAAAGUAGUGCAGCAAUCGGCACCUGUCAACAUUCCUGACUGGUCAAAAUUUUGCAAAAGGAAGACCAAGAAAGCCUCCAAGAAUGCAAGUUCAUUGCAUUAUGAAGAUUAUGAUGAAGAUCAUGAAUCAGAUGGUGAUAGUUAUAACGGGGUUGUGAAUGAGGAUAAUGAUGAUGAAUAUGAAAAUAAAGAUAGUGAUUACUAUUUUAAACUGCCCCCACAUGAGCUCAUUGCCAGACGGCUUGCAAGGAGCCAGAUUUCCUCAUUUUCUGUUUUUGAAGGGGUUGGCAGGACCCUCAAAGGGAGGGACCUUAGUAAAGUUAGGAAUGCUGUUUUGACCAGAACUGGGUUUCUUGAAUCACCAUGACCAUAAUUUAAUUCUAAUGCCACAAUGAAGCUGGUGGCCAUAUAGUCAUGAUGAUGAUCUUUACUCAUCUAGUUAGUAGUAUGUAUAGGGGUUUGUGUUGGUUCCUUGAUGAUUUGUCAUGGUUUUUGUCUAGGGGAUUAGUGGGCAUUGGUGAAUGAUGAUCCAUUUUUAUGUAUAAAGCAUGAUUUAGUGCAUAUUAAUGCCUAUGGGAUUUGAUUGCUUUUAAAAAAAAAAAAAAAAAAAA
Molecule: unclassified non-coding RNA, 1257 nt
Filed under: Hevea brasiliensis (rubber tree)
Lineage: Eukaryota; Viridiplantae; Streptophyta; Magnoliopsida; Malpighiales; Euphorbiaceae
Source: RNAcentral